CCGGGUUGGGCCCCUAAGUGUGACCCGCGGGUUGCGGAGCAAAUGCCUGGUAUUAUCCUUGCAGACUGACAUCUUGGUCCUCGGGAGGCGGAGCACCGUCUGGACCGAAUAUUCCAUGAAAGACCAGAAACUGGGUUGACUGGGAGUGAGUCAGAUUCAAUAUGUCCAUGUUGAUGGUGAAAUCCAUGCGGGGUCCUCUCAUGUCCAGUUGAGGGAGAGAACCAAUCGUCCACGCCGAGCAGCUCUGAGGGGAUGAGUGCCCUCCGUCUUGAAGUGUCAACAGGCGACAUAUGCACUGGGAGCAUGUAGCGUGGGGAUGGGGCUAGAGUCCACUCCACCGCACCCUUCGCCCAGCAGGGCAACUUCGGAAUGGACGCCUCUUUUGGUCAUGCGUAUCGCUCAUGGAACGGUCCAAGGUUCCGCAACCUUGAUCCUGAGUCCGGGCACGGUCCGAGACACCUCUGGGGCUAGUUAAGGGGGAACCCAAUGAAUAGAGACGUGUCAGCUCAAUUUGUAUGUGAGGGUUACUCCGGAGAGCAGACCCAGCACUUGGAUGCCAAAUCCGUCAGUUUGAUGUCCAGCUUGGACAGGGGCCGUUUUGCGGUUCUCAAAUCAACUAGGCGAUACCUAUAAGUCAUAUCGGUCCAUUCCCAAUGGGAAUUUAGUCUUCUCCACUUUCCAAGCUGUAACGCGCCAUUCGUCUCAAGGAAACAUCUGUGUCCGCGUGUCAUCGACAUCCAGUGGUAAGUCCCGGAUAGAGUGCAAACCCUGUGUCAGGUGUUUGCAGUGUCCUUUCCGGACUCCGUC
Pelobates cultripes (western spadefoot toad) is the source of this 807-nucleotide non-coding RNA. NCBI's taxonomy places the organism in Eukaryota, Metazoa, Chordata, Amphibia, Anura, Pelobatidae. The record is from the annotation of a GenBank genome assembly.